This is a long non-coding RNA of Lutra lutra (Eurasian river otter), 3657 nucleotides long. RefSeq lists it as uncharacterized. NCBI's taxonomy places the organism in Eukaryota, Metazoa, Chordata, Mammalia, Carnivora, Mustelidae. The record is from RefSeq and is a predicted model, not a curated record. The transcript has 3 exons.
AAGAAGUGGCCACGGAUUCGGAGUUGAGUCGGAAGGCCUGCGGCUGGGCUAAGAUGGAAGCGGGGAGAAAGAGAGGAUGCGGACGCCUGGGGGCGCUGGUGGUCGGGUUGCUGUGGAGCCGGAGGGCGCAGGCGGUGGCUGUGGGGCGCGCUGCGUGCCCGGCUCCUCUCCAGAAAGGAACCCCGAAAGGAACCUGUGAAACAACCCGUUUAGGGGCUCCGGCCUUCGUGGGAGGAAGCAAAGCUUUCCCAACUGCGUGUCUUCCUGGUUGCAACUCCGCUGCCCUUCGCUGGGUCCGCGCCUUGGCGCUCAAGGCCCCUCCAGUGAGCAAGCCAUGGUUCUUCUAACAGUCAUUUAAAGUGCCUGAGAGAUUUUCUCCAAGAACAGGCAGUUCAGAGGCUCUGCGUGAGGUGCUCCUUGACAAGAGACCAUCAGAGCUGGUGAUGCCGGCGUGCAGCAGUUCAGACCUGCUGGGGGAUAAAAGGCCACUGCCCUAAGUCCCUUAAGCACCUCCACUCCCCAUGGAGAAUAUCUCGGCCCCUCCACACCUCCGCAGACCUGGAAACAGAAGAGGUAACACCUGGCCCUGCAGGGUCCCCCACACAGACUGCUGGCAACUGUACUAGUGGCUCAGUGGUUGAGUCACACUGGUUGUUCAACAUUUUGACUAGCACCCAUGAAGAAAGAGCAAGCUCUCUGUCACCAAAGCCUUAUUGUCACUACCUGGUCUUCAGUAGAAGGCAAGGACCAACUUCACAAAGAGUGCUGUCAGGGAGGCAGUGGCUCCUAACGUCUUUGUGUAGUUGCUCUAAAUUGGAAACACAUGAUCCUUGACUAAAUAGCCUUUAAUCCACUUGUCAAACAAGUUCUGAGGCUUUCAGGGAAUGCCUGGGCCACCCCCUCUGUCUGGAACAAAGCCUGGUUUUGUUUCUUGGUAAUCCCAGACCUGUUUGCUUCAGCAUUUUAUCUGUUGUUUUCACCCUCCUCUGAUAAACUUUCUAAUUGCUUUACAGGGAAAAGAAAAAGAUUUACCAGCAGUUUUUUUGGUCUCCAGCUCCUUAGCUUUAAAUAUUCUUCCAGUACCUGCGCACAGUAGACAUUGCUCAUGGUGUUUAGUGUCCCCAGAUACCCACAGCUGUGACAGUUCUUGCUAUUCUUCCAGUGGCUUCACAGUCACACUGUGAGGUUCCCUUGGAACUACAGAAUCUCUGUCCCAGAAUCUCUGGCCAUCCUUCCCCAUUGUAGAGAGGAUUCACCCUACAACAUUCCCAAUACUGUGAAACACCCUCUUAUUGCAAUUUUGGGCACAGAGAAGUGAAUUUGCCCUUAUUGCCCUGUAGAAGUCAAUGGAAAUAUUCAUUUUUGCAUAAAUUAACACAUAGAAUAGGCCGGCCUCCAUUUUUCUGGUUUCUGGAGAGUGAAAACUAUAAGGUCUGACACAGUCUCAGAUCCUAUUUCCAGAAGCCUAUUCACCUCUGGAUUGAACACUUGAAACCAAAACAUUUCCAUUUGCCAAUGCUCAUUUGAGUCCAUUUUUCUAACACAGCUGACAAAAUCCUGACUAGUGCAGAAAUUGGUCUUGCCUUAGGUUAUUGUCGAAAACUCUAGAAUGAUAAACUGAUGGGGUUGGGUGGCCCUUCAGAGAGGAUUGUUCUUUCCUGGCUGGAAACUUGACAAUUCUCACUUACUGGGUAUUUUUCCAUCUGCCCUAUCAAGCCCGCCUGUCAUGAGGGAGGCUUGAGGAAGCCCCUGGGAAGAUGUGUAGAGGUGAAUGGGAUCCAAGAUGGCAUCUCUGAUAGAGCCAGGAAGCUGGAGGGAGAGCUGAAGGAAUAGACGGGUGGGGCAGUUCUCAUCUCCCUUCUCUGCGAAGUAAGAAUCAAGGUUAUCUUCUGGGUGUCAAGGAGGCACAGAUGGAUGGGAGGUUUGGGAGAAGUGAUAACAAUCUGGGAAGGCUCUAGAAAAGGAUGGAGAGUGACUGACAGGAAACAAGUACUCAAUUUGGAGACUGAUGGAGAGGGGUUCCACUAAUCCUAGGAACCCAGUCUGACACAGCUUCAGUCCAAGGGAGGGCCAGCUGGCCAACUGUGGCUCUCUGGAUGCUGAGCAGCUCUGUGGGGCAGAGCUGGGGCAGCAGCCGAUGGGCUGAUGGACAGGCAGAGAUAGUGUGGGUGCAGUGGAAGAUGGGUGCUGAGGAGCUCAUACUCAGGCUGACAUCCUAUUGGAGUCCACCCUCCUUUGAAUGACAAACUGCACCUCUUCCCACAGUAGCCCAAAUUCCAAGAAACAGCAACUGAGAAGAUAGGCGUACACCUGAGGCAUGGGGUGGGGGAUGUGCCUUGACCAUUCUUGUCUGGCAUUAUAGUCUCCAUGAGAAAUUGUCCGUAGGAAAAAUGUCCAUUACAAAGAUUCCAUUUCAAAGCCUGGCUUGUAAAGGCCAACCUAAAAUAGCUUUUAGGUUUUAGGUGGUGAGAGAGGACAGCAUAUUUUCUCCCAUUGCCACCUGAUCAAUCAAAUUCAACAAGACUGAGCCUCAGCUGGCAAAACAGUAUUUCCUAUUCCAAAGACAGCUCAUCCCAAGAGAUUAAAAAUUAGACCAAUAGUUGUCCACUAGAAAACUCCUUAUUAUAAUUAUAGCAAGGAAUAGAAAGCCUCAUUUAUAGGGUGUUUUAUGUUCAUUCUUUGCCAUCUGUUACUUUCCUGAGUCUUCACAAUAGCCCUGGGAGGUAAACAGGCUUAUCCCACUCUUUCUAUAUUUGGGAUGAUGAUGUGAGGUGCCCCAUGCUCAUUCUUCCUCCUUUGCCCUGCUCUCUGAGACUAAAGGCAUUUCCCUCUGACAGUGUAUGGAAGUCUACAAUUUACUAGCUAGUCACCGGAUUUCCCUCCACCCUCACCCCCACCCCGCCCAGUCUCAAGCCUUGCUCACUGCUGCUUAAAAGCCAUAAUACAGUUUGUUACAAUAAACGUUUCAAAGGCUCACUUGUAAAAUGGACUUGGCAAAAAGGCAAAGGGCCAAGCAGUAUUUUUUCUGUAUCAUUUGUCUCCCGUGGGAGGGAUGAAUCUAUGUUAAUUAAAUUAAUUAAAUUGCAAGACCAGCUACCUGUCAAUUUGGCAAACAUGAAUCCCUCUGGGUUACUAUAAGGGAAGUUGUGUUUCUGAAAAUAAAAUAAUCCUGGAUUGGUACUUGAAAGGAGAGAGUUGCUGUGCAAUCAGAAGGCACCACAUGGGCACUCGAUGAAUAUUUAUCAAAUCAAUGCAUCAGAACUCCUGCAUUUGCCAAUACGUUGCACCUUUUCUCAAAGGCCUAUCUGUGAACUACAGGGAAGCAAUGUUUGGGGAUCAACAGGAAAGAUAUUUACCCAGUAGAUAUGACAAGAUGUCACAUGGUAUCUCAUAAAAUGUGAAAUUGAAGCUACUUCUAAGAGGAAAUUAGAAAGUAAAAACAUACAUGUACCAAGAUCAUCCACUUAUAGAAGGCAGCUGCCCCACCUCCCCUCUUCCCCAGAAGCACCAGCUGCAGACAGAUCUCAUGAUGGAGAGGGUGUGUUCCCAGUGAAGUAUGGCCUCGUGCUUGUGGCUUUUGGCACUGUCCCAGUGUGAAAGCAAAUGGCACAUCACAGAGACAAAAUCCAGCAGAGAAUUGCCAACACUGCCCAGAGU